AACGAACGCUGGCGGCAGGCCUAACACAUGCAAGUCGAGCGGGGGAGCAAUCCCUAGCGGCGGACGGGUUAGUAACGCGUGGGAACAUACCCUUUGGUACGGAAUAGCCUCGGGAAACUGAGAGUAAUACCGUAUGUGCCCUUCGGGGGAAAGAUUUAUCGCCAAGGAUUGGCCCGCGUUGGAUUAGGUAGUUGGUGGGGUAAUGGCCUACCAAGCCUACGAUCCAUAGCUGGUUUGAGAGGAUGAUCAGCAACACUGGGACUGAGACACGGCCCAGACUCCUACGGGAGGCAGCAGUGGGGAAUCUUAGACAAUGGGCGCAAGCCUGAUCUAGCCAUGCCGCGUGAGCGAUGAAGGCCUUAGGGUUGUAAAGCUCUUUCAGAUGGGAAGAUAAUAGACGGUACCAUACAGAAGAAGCCCGGCUAACUCCGUGCCAGCAGCGCGGUAAUGUGACUACUG
This 459-nucleotide ribosomal RNA is filed under the name uncultured bacterium. RNAcentral describes it as "bacterial SSU rRNA". It matches the Rfam family "Bacterial small subunit ribosomal RNA", at positions 29 to 533 of the family's 1533-position model. The record is from RNAcentral.